CCUACGGGAGGCAGCAGUGGGGAAUAUUGGACAAUGGGGGGAACCCUGAUCCAGCGACGCCGCGUGAGUGAAGAAGUAUUUCGGUAUGUAAAGCUCUAUCAGCAGGGAAGAAAGAAAUGACGGUACCUGACUAAGAAGCCCCGGCUAACUACGGGCCAGCAGCCGCGGUAAGACGUAGGGGGCAAGCGUUACGCGGAUUUACUGGGUGUAAAGGGGGCGUAGGAGGCGAUGUAAGUCUGAUGUGAAAGACGGGGGCUCAACCAGAGGACUGUAUUGGAAACUGUUUGGCUGGAGUGCAGGAGAGGUAGGUGGAAUUCCUAGUGUAGGGGGAAAAGCCGUAGAGAUUAGGAGGAAAACUGGUUGCGAAGGCGACCUACGAGACUAUAACUGACGUUGAUGCUCGAAAGCGUGGGGAGCAAACAGGAUUAGAUACCCUUGUAGUC
Molecule: ribosomal RNA, 443 nt
Filed under: uncultured bacterium
Lineage: Bacteria
Description: partial 16S ribosomal RNA
Rfam family: Bacterial small subunit ribosomal RNA
Source: RNAcentral